CAUUGCUGUGUUUGCCUAAAAGGCUGGAACUGCAGCAGCCAUUUUGUGACUAUGGGGCUGAGUACAAAGCAAGGUCAGCAGAGCAGUAAGAUGGAAGGAUCCUGGAUUCUUGGUGACUGGAGAGGACACCAAGCCAAGAACUGCACUGUAAGAAGUCUGGCUUUCCUAAGGCCAUCCUGCUGGAAAUAACACAUGAAGCUGAAGGCAGAUACCCAAGGUGUGCCCACUGUUAGAGUCUUCCCAGCCCAGUGCCAGAUGUAUAAAAGAAGAUGGCAUCCAGAUGACCUAGCAUGAGCCACUGACGCCAUCAGCUGAACUGUCUGGGACACCUGGAGCUUAGAAUGCCCUGCAGAGCAACUCCCAAAUUCAUGACUCACAGAAAUUGGGACAUAAUAAAUGAUUAUUAUUGCUUUAAGCCUCUA
Molecule: long non-coding RNA, 422 nt
Organism: Canis lupus familiaris (dog)
Lineage: Eukaryota; Metazoa; Chordata; Mammalia; Carnivora; Canidae
Exons: 2
Source: RefSeq, a predicted model, not a curated record